This 424-nucleotide ribosomal RNA is filed under the name Epyris sp. Its description in RNAcentral is "partial large subunit ribosomal RNA". The record is from RNAcentral. Lineage: Eukaryota; Metazoa; Arthropoda; Insecta; Hymenoptera; Bethylidae.
AAAACAUUUCUUUUUUAUAAAAAUAUUAAGUAGACUCUGCCCAAUGAUUAUUUUAAUGGCUGCAGUAUAUUAACUGUACAAAGGUAGCAUAAUAAUUUGGUUUUUAAAUGGAAUCUUGAAUGAAAGAGGUGAUGAAAUAUAUACUUUAUUAAAUUAAAAUUUUGAAUUUAAAUUUAAAGUAAAAAUGCUUUAAUAGGUUAACGGGACGAGAAGACCCUAUAGAAUUUUAUAUAAUUUAAAUUAAUAAAAUAAUAAUUUUUAAUUUAAGUAAUAUUUAUUUGGGAGGAAUGUUAAAUUAAAAAACUUUAAUUUAUGGAUACAUUGAUUUAUGAAUUUUUAUGAUUUUAAAGUUAAUUAUAAGAUAAAAUUACCUUAGGGAUAACAGCGUAAUAUUUUUUUAUAGUUCUUAUUGAAAAAGAUGUUU